Molecule: microRNA, 23 nt
Filed under: Bovine leukemia virus
Lineage: Riboviria; Pararnavirae; Artverviricota; Revtraviricetes; Ortervirales; Retroviridae
Description: blv-miR-B5-3p
Gene: blv-miR-B5-3p
Source: miRBase by way of RNAcentral
CUCGAGCCGCAACCUCCCUUUCU